This 600-nucleotide long non-coding RNA is filed under the name Rattus norvegicus (Norway rat). RNAcentral describes it as "long non-coding RNA NONRATT031616". Lineage: Eukaryota; Metazoa; Chordata; Mammalia; Rodentia; Muridae. The record is from RNAcentral.
CUGAGACUUCAGUAGUUUUCUAGCCACUGUAGUCACCAGUUUGGUGUCUAGAGGCAGGAAGGCAAACGAAAAUUUCACAUUGUUUGAUAAGUUCUUCAUCGCAGGCUUUACUAAAAAGGUGGAGCUCUGCAUCAGGAGAAUUGUUUUUUUUGAAUAUGGACACGACUAAGGAGGAAGAUGUAGGACAAGAAAAUCGAACCGUGGUUUACCAAGGUGCUGUGGUUAUCCAAAGAGGGUGGAAAAGAAAGAAACGUUAUCUGACCUUGUUCGAUGACAUUUUGGUGGUAUCCAGUAAACUAUAAGUAUACGCAUCAUGCUUUCCUUACUAUAAGAGGCUACUCAGUGGAAAGCCCUUAAGAAAUAAGAAAUUUAAGAUAAAACAUGUCAUUCCAUUGGCUUACCUGUGGAUUGGUGAUGAAGUGGAUGCAUUCAGGUCAGACAACAUUGUUGCUUCCAAGUCCAUUUACCUAUACUGGCCGAUGGGACAUAUUGUUGCCACCUUUUGAUCCAUUCGUGAAGCCAAGAAACACAACAAAAUGGAACUUCCCAUGCAGAUAUUCACUGAGGACAUUGCAGGCUGUGACACUCCUCUGUAUGUAA